AUAUUGCGCAAUGGGCGAAAGCCUGACGCAGCGACGCCGCGUGGGUGAGGAAGGCCUUCGGGUUGUAAAGCCCUUUUGCUGGGGACGAGGAUGGACGGUACCCAGCGAAUAAGCCCCGGCUAACUACGUGCCAGCAGCCGCGGUAAUACGUAGGGGGCCAGCGUUGUCCGGAUUUACUGGGCGUAAAGCGCGCGUAGGCGGAACGUUAAGUCUGGCCUGAAAGCCCCCGGCUCAACCGGGGAAGGUGGCUGGAAACUGGCGUUCUUGAGGGCGAUAGAGGAGUGUGGAAUUCCUGGUGUAGCGGUGAAAUGCGUAGAGAUCAGGAGGAACACCCAUGGCGAAGGCAGCACUCUGGGUCGGCCCUGACGCUGAGGCGCGAAAGCGUGGGGAGCGAACGGG
RNAcentral lists this ribosomal RNA (399 nucleotides) under uncultured bacterium. RNAcentral describes it as "bacterial SSU rRNA". It matches the Rfam family "Bacterial small subunit ribosomal RNA", at positions 361 to 776 of the family's 1533-position model. The record is from RNAcentral.